GUGAGUAACGCGUGAGGAACCUGCCUCAAAGAGGGGGACAACAGUUGGAAACGACUGCUAAUACCGCAUAAGCCCACGGCUCGGCAUCGAGCAGAGGGAAAAGGAGCAAUCCGCUUUGAGAUGGCCUCGCGUCCGAUUAGCUAGUUGGUGAGGUAACGGCCCACCAAGGCGACGAUCGGUAGCCGGACUGAGAGGUUGAACGGCCACAUUGGGACUGAGACACGGCCCAGACUCCUACGGGAGGCAGCAGUGGGGAAUAUUGCACAAUGGGGGAAACCCUGAUGCAGCGACGCCGCGUGGAGGAAGAAGGUCUUCGGAUUGUAAACUCCUGUUGUUGAGGAAGAUAAUGACGGACUCAACAAGGAAGUGACGGCUAACUACGUGCCAGCAGCCGCGGUAAAACGUAGGCACAAGCGUGUCCGGAUUACUGGGUGAAAGGGAGCGCAGGCGGGAAACAGUUGGAAUGAAUCCAUGGGCUCAACCCAUGAACUGCUUUCAAAACUGUUUUUCUUGAGUAGUGCAGAGGUAGGCGGAAUUCCCGGUGUAGCGGUGGAAUGCGUAGAUAUCGGGAGGAACACCAGUGGCGAAGGCGGCCUACUGGGCACCAACUGACGCUGAGGCUCGAAAGUGUGGGUAGCAAACAGGAUUAGAUACCCUGGUAGUCCACACCGUAAACGAUGAUUACUAGGUGUUGGAGGAUUGACCCCUUCAGUGCCGCAGUUAACACAAUAAGUAAUCCACCUGGGGAGUACGACCGCAAGGUUGAAACUCAAAGGAAUUGACGGGGGCCCGCACAAGCAGUGGAGUAUGUGGUUUAAUUCGACGCAACGCGAAGAACCUUACCAAGUCUUGACAUCCCUUGACGAUGCUGGAAACAGUAUUUCUCUUCGGAGCAAGGAGACAGGUGGUGCAUGGUUGUCGUCAGCUCGUGUCGUGAGAUGUUGGGUUAAGUCCCGCAACGAGCGCAACCCUUAUGGUCAGUUACUACGCAAGAGGACUCUGGCCAGACUGCCGUUGACAAAACGGAGGAAGGUGGGGAUGACGUCAAAUCAUCAUGCCCUUUAUGACUUGGGCUACACACGUACUACAAUGGCGUUAAACAAAGAGAAGCAAGACCGCGAGGUGGAGCAAAACUCAGAAACAACGUCCCAGUUCGGACUGCAGGCUGCAACUCGCCUGCACGAAGUCGGAAUUGCUAGUAAUCGUGGAUCAGCAUGCCACGGUGAAUACGUUCCCGGGCCUU
This 1243-nucleotide ribosomal RNA is filed under the name uncultured bacterium. Its description in RNAcentral is "bacterial SSU rRNA". It matches the Rfam family "Bacterial small subunit ribosomal RNA", at positions 106 to 1382 of the family's 1533-position model. The record is from RNAcentral.